UGAAUAAAAGGUUCGGGCAAAAAUUAGGGAUAAAAAUAAAAAAUAAUAAUUACACCCGCUAAGUUGAAAACCUGAAAAGGUAGCUUAGGAAAAAAGGGUAUCCCGGUGGAUUGAAAACCCGAAAGGGAUCCAGGAAAAAGUUAGGGAUUUGAAGCGAACGACUACGUCUUAUGUUGGAUCUAUUGAUUCCAUCAUACUACUACAGUCGUAGACCCCGAAGGGUAGGAAUCAGUUCA
This 236-nucleotide long non-coding RNA is filed under the name Lathyrus oleraceus (garden pea). Its description in RNAcentral is "Pisum sativum (pea) long non-coding RNA (PSAT_LNC011605)". Lineage: Eukaryota; Viridiplantae; Streptophyta; Magnoliopsida; Fabales; Fabaceae. The record is from RNAcentral.